This 139-nucleotide small nucleolar RNA is filed under the name Triticum aestivum (bread wheat). RNAcentral describes it as "Small nucleolar RNA Z247". It matches the Rfam family "Small nucleolar RNA Z247". From Rfam's summary of the family: Z247 is a member of the C/D class of snoRNA which contain the C (UGAUGA) and D (CUGA) box motifs. Most of the members of the box C/D family function in directing site-specific 2'-O-methylation of substrate RNAs. Lineage: Eukaryota; Viridiplantae; Streptophyta; Magnoliopsida; Poales; Poaceae. The record is from Rfam by way of RNAcentral.
CACAUCGAUGAUGAUGAGCUCGUCUCCUACAUCACCGCCCGCCUCGACAUGGAGUACCAGCCCCUCGUCUCCGCCAAUGACGCACGCACCGACACCAUCAACCUCGACGAUCUCUAUGCUCAGAUGAGCAACUUCGAUC